GACGUUGUAGGGUGUUUGUGUGUGAAUGUGUGUGUGUGAGUGUGUGUGUGUGCGUGCACUGGCCAUCCACCAUUCAUAGGCGCUUACUAA
RNAcentral lists this microRNA precursor (90 nucleotides) under Petromyzon marinus (sea lamprey). RNAcentral describes it as "miRNA (ENSPMAG00000011511.1)". Lineage: Eukaryota; Metazoa; Chordata; Hyperoartia; Petromyzontiformes; Petromyzontidae. The record is from RNAcentral.